CUGGGUAUGCCGUGGUGGAGCACCAGAAAUAGCCUCAGACUUUGUAGGGGAGCUACUGACGUGGGGAGAAGAGGAAUUUCAGGAUUCUGUCAGUGCGUAAAGGGGUGGCAGAGCUCCAGAUGGGGUUCCCCACCUUACAAGCUGGAGCAGAAUUUGAACCUGUGCUGCUUUUACAGCAGAAAUAGGUUUUCACAUCUGUCUGCUCUUCCAGCAACACACUCUGUGCCAAGGGAGUGUCUGCUAUCUGCUGCACUGAAAACCUGACGGGACCCAGCAGCAAGAUCAAUGCUUACAGGAUUUUCCUGAGGCUAUAAAGCUUCUGGAUGAGUUUUCAUUUUUGCUGGCUGGGAAAAGAGGUGAAUUGGCUGCUUGUCUCCUGCGGGGAUGCUUUUGGGGCAGCUCAGCAUGUUCCUGCCGGCAGCUUCUCGCAGCCUGACCUACCUACAGCCGUGACUCGUCCACCGCCUCCCUGGGCCAGGAUGGUGUCCCCUGCUUCAACCUUUGCUCACUCCUGCACUGAUUUGAAGUCUGACCGUAGAGGUGAAUUAUCUGCACUGCCUUUUUGGAGCCAUCUGGGUGACAUGGUGAGGCGGCCCUGGAUAUUUGUCUGUAUGCUGAACUGAUGUAAAGGUAUGCCUGUGCUGUGCUUGUGAUGGCGGCUCAGGUAGAUGGAACCAAUACAGGUGAGGCAUACUGGUGGCAUAAGACAUAGCUGACGCUCCAACUUGUCCAAGAAAGGCACAGGUGGGCGUAGAGUUCCCACACUGUUAUGCUGUUGAAUCGUACGAGAAGGAAGAUCCUUUAGGAUAGGUGAAUGGUAAGCACAGCAAUGAGUGUAUUGUAACCAUACUGUGAACUCGCCUUGCUGUCCUGGCUUUACCUGACUAGUUGCCGUGAACUUUGGAUUUGUCAGCUGAGUUGCCCUUGGGUUUUUUCUAAUCUUCUUCAGACAGUUAAAGAGAUUCCCACGUGGCUGGGGUAAAUGCCAAGCUGUAGGCAGCAAUAGUUUAUAAUCCUUUCAAGAACAUUGGCACUAGUCUUUAAAAUAUCUGUAAGUUAAGUCAAGAGCACUUUUUUUUUU
Molecule: long non-coding RNA, 1081 nt
Organism: Cuculus canorus (common cuckoo)
Lineage: Eukaryota; Metazoa; Chordata; Aves; Cuculiformes; Cuculidae
Exons: 4
Source: RefSeq, a predicted model, not a curated record